Long non-coding RNA from Daphnia pulex (common water flea), 729 nucleotides. RefSeq lists it as uncharacterized. The transcript has 6 exons. The record is from RefSeq and is a predicted model, not a curated record. NCBI's taxonomy places the organism in Eukaryota, Metazoa, Arthropoda, Branchiopoda, Diplostraca, Daphniidae.
GUCCCAAGCUCCCAAGGAAGGAGUUGACAGCUAUGUGAAAUGUAGAAAAUAGAAAGAAUUCGAAAAGUGAAAUCAAUAUUCAGCAAGAUGUUUGACCAUGUUUGACACUGAAAAACUAACUUGACUUGGUAAUGGAUGUUUUGUAAAUGCUGAAUCCAAGAACUUCGUCAUUUCACUUGAUUGACUUUCUUUUCCGAUUUUAAUAAUGGUGAUAUUGCAGACACACCAUAUUGCAAGUACUUACCUGAGCAGCUGAGCUCUUCCUUUCUGUGGUUCCUUUCAAUUGAUUCAUUUGAGACCCUAUCCACUAGUGGAAUAUGUAGAGAGAUGUUCAACUUAUUCCAAGUAUCUUGUCAUUAUCUAGCCAACCCCCCGUAAAUAAGGUAGAAGUAGAUAACUUACAAGUGCAUAUCUGGGCCCCCUUCUUUUCUGUCGUCCCGUUUCCCUAACUAACCACUAACCAACGUCCGCCGGUGGUCACUGACCCGCUGUGAUAACUAGGAGGAUGAGGAGGGCUCUGGUCGAAUGGAAACUUAAUUUCUCUCUUUUUCCUUGUCCAGGUAAACACGCUGGGCACAUUAUGAAAGGGAAAGUUUCCUCGUCUUGAUUAACUGCAAAUAAAAACAGUAUACUGCAGACAAUACAACAACAUACUGGUUGCAACUUCCGCAACAUGAAAUUAUCUUCAAAGAACAACCACUGUUCAACUUGAUGCAAAAAGUCUUUUAC